UACAGAGGUGGCAAGCGUUGUUCGGAAUUACUGGGCGUAAAGGGCGCGUAGGCGGCCUUCUAAGUCAGACGUGAAAUCCCCCGGCUUAACCUGGGAACUGCGUCUGAUACUGGGAGGCUAGAGUAUGGGAGAGGGAUGUAGAAUUCCAGGUGUAGCGGUGAAAUGCGUAGAUAUCUGGAGGAAUACCGGUGGCGAAGGCGGCAUCCUGGACCGACAUUGACGCUGAGGAGCGAAAGCUAGGGGAGCAAACGGG
RNAcentral lists this ribosomal RNA (253 nucleotides) under uncultured bacterium. RNAcentral describes it as "partial 16S ribosomal RNA". It matches the Rfam family "Bacterial small subunit ribosomal RNA", at positions 524 to 776 of the family's 1533-position model. The record is from RNAcentral.